Molecule: ribosomal RNA, 465 nt
Filed under: uncultured bacterium
Lineage: Bacteria
Description: partial 16S ribosomal RNA
Rfam family: Bacterial small subunit ribosomal RNA
Source: RNAcentral
GACGAACGCUGGCGGCGUGCUUAACACAUGCAAGUCGAACGGAAAGGCCCUGCUUGCAGGGUACUCGAGUGGCGAACGGGUGAGUAACACGUGGGUGAUCUGCCCUGCACUUCGGGAUAAGCCUGGGAAACUGGGUCUAAUACCGGAUAGGAGCCAUUUUUAGUGUGAUGGUUGGAAAGUUUUUUCGGUGUAGGAUGAGCUCGCGGCCUAUCAGCUUGUUGGUGGGGUAAUGGCCUACCAAGGCGGCGACGGGUAGCCGGCCUGAGAGGGUGGACGGCCACAUUGGGUCUGAGAGACGGCCGAGACUCCGACGGGUGGCAGCAGGGGGGAAGAUUGCACAAGGGGCGCAAGCCUGAUGCAGAGACGCCGCGGGGGGGAUGACGGCCUUCGGGUUGUAAACUCCUUUCGCUAGGGACGAAGCUUUUUGUGACGGUACCUAGAGAAGAAGCACCGGCUAACUACGUG